This 235-nucleotide unclassified non-coding RNA is filed under the name Hevea brasiliensis (rubber tree). Lineage: Eukaryota; Viridiplantae; Streptophyta; Magnoliopsida; Malpighiales; Euphorbiaceae. The record is from RNAcentral.
UCUGUGUCUAUUCUCCUCUUAUAAAUAAAGCUCAUUCAAUUUUCUCUCUCCAUUGUCCCAAAAGUACUACCUGUUAUUUAAUUCAAAGCUCUCUCUAAAAUAAAUUCCUCUCUUUUUUGCCUAAAUCAAAAUAAGAAAUUAUUUCUUAUCAAUACUUUUCAUCUUAAUUCCACCAUGUCUGCCUUUGGAAAAUUUGUUGUAAUUAUGGCUGUUGUUAUGUUAGCCAUUAGUUUAG